This 1341-nucleotide long non-coding RNA is filed under the name Marmota monax (woodchuck). The record is from RNAcentral. Lineage: Eukaryota; Metazoa; Chordata; Mammalia; Rodentia; Sciuridae.
UUUUAAAUUGAUUUAUUUCAAGUAUUUUGUCACAGUUACAGAAGGCUGACUAACACAGGGGUCAGCCUUGCACUUUGCCCCAUCUCUCUCCACAUAGCAGUCAGAGGUUGUGACAAACCUGCCAAAGUCCUCCAGGGACUGACAGUCACACUCAGGGUUACAGUCGUAGUCUCUGGCUGGCCCCAUGGCUUCUUAGCCAGUGUACUGUCCCUGAAAAUGUCCUGCCUGCUGACUUGACCGCCGUGUGGACUGGCUCAGGCCUGGGUACCUGUUCCUCUCUGCCUGGCAACCUGUGCUCUGCCCUGGCUCUGCAGGAAUGCAGUCCUUCAGAGGGCCCUUGAGUCUACCCUGUUGAAGAUACCUCCAUCUGUCACUGUUCCCUGUUGUUCCUCUGCCACUCAGCCCACCAGAUACUAGCAUUUCUAUUUCUCUUCUGCCAGAGAUUCCCUGCCAGAGGAUAAAGACCAGGAGGACAGGUCUGAGAAUGCCCACGGCAUGGCUGGGCAACCAGAGAACACCUGAGGUGGAGGUGCACGCGCCACACAAAGCAGAACAGCAGAGCUACCCGAGGACCAGCUGGUGCCACAGGUGAAGCUGUUGGCUGCCCUGGUUCUGGACUACAGAGCCUGGUACGGCUCACACACUGCUGGAGCCAGACAGAGCCAGGUGAGCCCAGAGCUGGGACUGUCACCAAAGGCCUGCCCAGCCCCACACAGGUUUCCUGAGGCCCCCUCCCCUCCCCCCUGUUCUCUCCCACUCCUCCUUCCCCCUCCCCCUCCCCCUUUUAUUUUAUUUUGAAAUAGGGGUCUUGCUAAGUUGCUUAGGGCAUCACUAAGUUGUGGAGUCUGGCCUCCACCCCUCCUUGCCAGCUGUAUUGAGCUAAGCAAUGCUACUCCUUCAGGCCUUCUGCCUUGACAUUCUGCCUCCCUCAGGCCCAGACCACAAGAGUUGACUGAGCAUGAACUGAAUCUCUGAAAGCAUGAGCCCAAAAUAAACUUUUCCUUCUCCAAGUUGUUCUCGUCAGGUAUUUGGUCACAGGGAUGCAAAGCUGCCUGCCCAGAUGGAGAAUGAGCAUGUGUUCCAGUCAGAAUGAGGCCAAUGGCGAAGCCUGAGAACGGACAGUGGCAGGUCCGGAGAGUCAAAGAUGUGCCAUCCGAGGCCAACCUAGGUGUUCAGGGGGUGGCUGCUACUUGUUGAACCUCAAGUUUCUGUGUUGUAGUAAUCCCCUGAACUUCUAAAUGUGACUAUUUGGAAAUAGUCUUUAAGGGAUGAUUAAAUUAAAAUGAGGCCCGUAGAGUGGCCCUAACCCAGCAUGCCUGCUGUCAUAAUAAAAGAGGAAAC